GGCUUUAUGAUAAUAAUUUAAGGUCUGACCUGCCCCCUGAAAUUUUAAAGGGCCGCAGUAUUUUGACUGUGCUAAGGUAGCAUAAUCAUUAGUUUUUUAAUUGAAAGCUGGAAUGAAGGGUUGAAUGAGAAAAUUUCUGUCUCAAUAAAAAUUUAAAUGAAUUUUAUUUUUAAAUAAAAAAGUUUAAAUAUAAUUAAAAGACGAGAAGACCCUAUAGAAUUUAAUAUAAAUUUUUAUUAAUUUUUUUUAGUAAUUUAAUUUUUAAUAAAAAUUUAUAUUUGAUUGGGGUGAUUGAAAAAUUUAAUUAACUUUUUUAAAAAUAAUUUCAUUGAUUUAUGUAUAAUUGAUCUUUUUAUUAUGAUUAUAAGAUUAAAUUACCUUAGGGAUAACAGCGUAAUUUUUUUUAAGAGUUCAAAUCGAUAAAAAAGAUUGCGACCUCGAUGUUGGAUUAAAAUUUAAAUUUGGUGUAGAAGCUAAAAUUUUAGGUCUGUUCGACCUUUAGAAUUUUACAUGA
Molecule: ribosomal RNA, 514 nt
Filed under: Urgleptes querci
Lineage: Eukaryota; Metazoa; Arthropoda; Insecta; Coleoptera; Cerambycidae
Description: partial large subunit ribosomal RNA
Rfam family: Bacterial large subunit ribosomal RNA
Source: RNAcentral